UACGUAGGGUGCAAGCGUUGUCCGGAAUCAUUGGGCGUAAAGCGCGCGUAGGUGGCCUCAUAAGUCCGCUGUGAAAGUCAAAGGCUCAACCUUUGAAAGCCGGUGGAUACUGUGAGGCUAGAGUACGGAAGAGGCGAGUGGAAUUUCUGGUGUAGCGGUGGAAUGCGCAGAUAUCAGGAGGAACACCAAUAGCGAAGGCAGCUCGCUGGGACGUUACUGACACUGAGGCGCGAAAGCGUGGGGAGCGAACAGG
This 253-nucleotide ribosomal RNA is filed under the name uncultured bacterium. RNAcentral describes it as "partial 16S ribosomal RNA". It matches the Rfam family "Bacterial small subunit ribosomal RNA", at positions 524 to 776 of the family's 1533-position model. The record is from RNAcentral.